Chelonoidis abingdonii (Abingdon island giant tortoise) is the source of this 3745-nucleotide non-coding RNA. Lineage: Eukaryota; Metazoa; Chordata; Testudines; Testudinidae. The record is from the annotation of a RefSeq genome assembly.
CCCCUUAGACUCUGGCAACCCCCAGGGCUUGUGGGAGGGAGCAUGGUGAGUUUCUUUGUCCUGGGGGAAGAGGACGCUCGCACAAGGGUCCCCCCCAUCGCUCGGUGGUGGAAGCGGUGGAGCCCUGCUCUGGCAGCCUAGAAGCCGGUGCCAUGGCAGCAAGCGGAGCAAGACGUUUACCAAACAGCUCAGUGGCUCAGCUUUAGCGCCGCAGCCUCGGAGCGGAAAGGAGCAGCCGAGUUCGGGGCUGCUGUUCCCCUCCCCGUGCAAGCGUCCUAGCGCUUCGGGCUGCCCGUGCCCGGCGCGUAUUCACUUCCUUGCCAGAGAAGUUUGCCCAGGUCAAGUGCCCGCUUCCCCCGCUCCGUGGGAGCCGGGUUCCACCGGCCCGGGGACAAUUUUACCGGGCGGCCGCCUCUGGGCUGAGGAGUCCCGGCGCUGCAGCCGAGAAGAGCGACUCCCUGCUCUGGCCGCCCGGUGCCCGAAGUGCAGGGAGCCUGAGCCAAGCUGCUGCCCGCACCCGGUGUCUUAGCUUUCCCGGCACGUCUGGGGGCGGGGCGCUACUCCGGGCUGCGCUAACUUCUGCAGCAGUUCAAAGUGCACCUGCUGCGCGGCUCCUUCCCGGCGCCCUGCCCACGCCGGACUAUGGAAGCGCUGUUCAUGCUGCUGCACCUCGUAGCUGCAGCUACAUUGGAAAUCAAGACCAGCCCUUCCCCAGUAUUCUGUCUGGUGGACAAACAUAUUGAGUUGCAUUGUAAUUUUACAAUCUGGAAGAGUGUUAAAUUGGAGGAUGUGGCAGUGAAAUGGACCAUAAACAAUGAAUUUGGAGAGAAGACAGUAUACCAGUUUGAUGGAAAGCAUACAUUAUACCACCGGAAUGGGGCCUUGGUGAAUCCUGAAUUACUAACUCAGGGCAGCGCAUCACUGAACCUGCAUAAUGUGACAUUAGAUGACGAAGGGAUCUACACAUGCACUGUUUUAAUAACCCCGCAAUAUGGAAGUGGGACAAUCCAGCUCCAAGUCAGAGCUCAGCCUACUGUGUUGCUGUCACCCCAAAACCCUGAAAUUACAGCAGGGGGAGAGAAAACCUUUUCCUGUGAUGUUCAUCAAUUUUACCCUCAAGAAAUUGACAUCUCCUGGCUGGUUAGGAAAUAUGGCAGUAAACACGAGAGGCCUUUAACACAGGACAUCUGCACAGGAGUCCCAUUGGCUCAUGAUAAAAAGGGCAUGUUCACCGUGUUGAGCCGGGUGACACGAGAGGUGUCUGAAGAGGAUGAUGGAUCCUUGUACAUCUGUGAAGUCCGACAUGAAUCCCUGGAAAAGCCGCUGAGAGGAAAUACAACCAUAUUUGUCAUGACCCCAAAGCAGUAUCAUCGGGAUAUUGGGUUCAUUGUUGGAGUAGCUGCUGCUUGUAUUGUGAUAACUGGAGCGUGUAGUAUAUUUUUGACCAUAUUCUAUCGGGAACAACUUAUGAAAGUACCGCCUCAGGUUUCCUUGAUUAACAAACCAGAUGUGAUCCCGAUUAAUGAGAAGCUGAAGCUGAUGUGCAACAUAAAUGGGUUUAGACCAAAAGCAAUUAGUGUGAAAUGGUACCGGAGAACCCCCCAAAUGGCAUCAAGUGAAACUCCUGGAGAAGCUUCUUUUCUUCUGGGUCCGAGAGAUGAUAUUACAGACAAGGCAAGGCAGCCUUUGGAAACCAAUGGCAAGUUCUUCAGUGUUCCAUCCUGUCUGACCUACACACCCACUAUCCGGGAUGAUGGGGCAGUGUUUGAAUGCAGCAUUGAGCACAGUGCACUGAAAAGCGCCAUAUGGAUAAGCACCACACUGAGUGUCACCGCUCGUCCGACAAGUCUCUACAUCACUAGCUGGCCUCAGGCUCCCACGGUAGGAGAGAAGCUCAUUCUGAGCUGCGUAGUAGAGAAAUUUUACCCUAAGGAUAUCACUUUGACUUGGUUUCGAAAUGGACAACUGGUUAGCGAUGUGACACAGUUUGGACCUUUCCCUUGUGAAAUAGACUAUUUCAGUGUCUGGAGCCAGACUGAGUUUAUACUGACCAAUGAGGAGGAAGGGGCAGUUUAUAUCUGUCAGAUAAAACACAGCAGCUUUGGAAAUAUAGAAGAACUCUUCUAUGAAGUUAACUUGCAAGGGACACCCCCUGAAGUUCUCUGGAUCACCACAGACCCCUCCAUUCCUGUGGUGGGAGAGGAGCUGAGGCUGAACUGCAGGAUCAAUAACUUCUCCCCUAAUGUGAUCACUGUGAACUGGUUCCGAGAUGGGCAGCUCCUGCAAGCGGGAGUCUGCCAUUCAGUCUCCAUAAUGGGAGCCAAUGGUUUGCACUCCAUCUGGAGUGUUUUGAGAGUCACGCCUGGAAGGGAAGAGGAAGGAGCAGUGUUUACGUGUCGGGUGACACAUGCUGCUUUAAGGGACUCUGUAGAAAGAUCAUACACUCUGCAGCUGCCUGAUUGAUGUGAUGAAGGCUCAACAGACUGUGCAGGGUGGGAAAGAAAGCAGAAGGUACACUUCCAGCACAAGGAAAAUUCUCUGGAAAUGAAACUUAACUGAAAAGUUGAUUCUACUUCCCUCCCACUUCAUCUCCUGGCUUUCACGUUCUCCUUGUAAAGGGAUCCUAACUGCUCCUUCCCAUCCUCCAAUGCAAGGACUGUGUCUGGUUAUAUGUCACGCUCGUGGCAGCUGCUUGCUGCCUUUCUGUAUGAGAAGCACCAGUUCAUCAGCUGGCUUGUAGAGCAGAGAGAAUUUUUUGUUCUUUAGCUUCACUUUUGGUUAAAGGGUGGCCUAGAUUCCUAGGGUUCCUGGUGGGUUGUACAGAAUUGCUAAAUGUACAUGUGAGAAACACUAUAGAGUUAGUAUUAUUAACAUAAAACUUUUUCUUAGUAUUUUUAACACCUAGGAUUUAUCUCCAAAGGGCAUUAAGUAAGAACUAGGGCUAGGGUAGCUAGGGCAGAGUUAUCAAGCUAUUUAACAGAAGGAAAAACAGAGACACAAAGUAGUGAAAAUGAUUUACCCAAGGUUAUGUAGAGAGCUGUGGAAUUAUUUUCACAGAAACUAAGGGGUUCGUUGGCUUUCAUGUACAUUGAAAUGAUCCUGCCUGAUUUCUAGACAGAAAUGGGCAAGGCCGCGAAGAAGACAAGAGAAGACCUAGCAUAUAUUUUACCACUGGGUGUCUCUCUUUACCUUAUCACUGGAGACAGAACUGAAAAAUGUAAAGACGGCUCUGCAGUCUGGCCUGUGGUGACCAAAGUGUGUUACCUAGCCCAGUGUGAAUGGAGAAAGAGCUUUGCCUUUUGUUUUCUUGAUUCUUUUCACAAUCAAGUAUUUGCGAAUUCAUUUAUUGAACAGAAAAUUGACACUCCUCCUAUACUUCUUACACAGUGGAUCGACUCCAGCUGCUUAGAGGAAUGAAUUCCCUUUCUCAGUGGGCCGACUCUAGAUCUGCUGUAAAUGGUCGCCAUUCCAAUGAUUUCAGUGGAAAUGCACCUUCUUACACCAGGUCUGAAUUAAGUUUAGUGUGCAACAACAUCAAACCAUGGGAAGGUCGGAUAUAAGGAAGUAGGGAAUGAUAAAACAAGGGCAGAGGGAGAAGUUCUUUUGGGAUAGCUUGUGGGGUUUUUUUUGGAGAGGGAUGUUGUUUAUCAACUGAAUUGUCUUAAUUUGUUGCAUUCUUUUUUUUAUUGUUGUAAGUCAGUGGCUCUCAAGCUUUCCAGACUUCCCUUUCAGGAGUCUUAUUUGU